AGCGAACGCUGGCGGCAGGCCUAACACAUGCAAGUCGAACGAACCUUUCGGGGUUAGUGGCGGACGGGUGAGUACCACGUGGGAACGUGCCUUUAGGUUCGGAAUAACUCAGGGAAACUUGUGCUAAUACCGAAUGUGCCCUUCGGGGGAAAGAUUAAUCGCCUUUAGAGCGGCCCGCGUCUGAUUAGCUAGUUGGUUGAGGUAAUGGCUCACCAAGGCGACGAUCAGUAGCUGGUCUGAGAGGAUGAUCAGCCACAUUGGGACUGAGACACGGCCCAAACUCCUACGGGAGGCAGCAGUAGGGAAUCUUGCGCAAUGGGCGAAAGCCUGACGCAGCCAUGCCGCGUGAAUGAUGAAGGUCUUAGGAUUGUAAAAUUCUUUCACCGGGGACGAUAAUGACGGUACCCGGAGAAGAAGCCCCGGCUAACUUCGUG
This 434-nucleotide ribosomal RNA is filed under the name uncultured bacterium. Its description in RNAcentral is "partial 16S ribosomal RNA". It matches the Rfam family "Bacterial small subunit ribosomal RNA", at positions 29 to 507 of the family's 1533-position model. The record is from RNAcentral.